GACGAACGCUGGCGGUGUGCUUAACACAUGCAAGUCGAACGGUAAGGCCCUUUCGGGGGUCCACGAGUGGCGAACGGGUGAGUAACACGUGAGUAACCUGCCCUCAUCUCUGGGAUAACAGUCGGAAACGGUUGCUAAUACUGGAUAUGAGCUUGCAAGGCAUCUUGUGGGUUGGAAAGAUUUUUUUUGGUUGGGGAUGGACUCGCGGCCUAUCAGCUUGUUGGUGAGGUAGUGGCUCACCAAGGCUUCGACGGGUAGCCGGCCUGAGAGGGCGACCGGCCACAUGGGGACUGAGAUACGGCCCAAACUCCUACGGGAGGCAGCAGUGGGGAAUAUUGCACAAUGGACGGAAGUCUGAUGCAGCAACGCCGCGUGCGGGAUGACGGCCUUCGGGUUGUAAACCGCUUUCAAUUGUGACGAAGCUUUUUUGUGACGGUAGCAGUAGAAGAAGCACCGGCUAACUACGUG
This 468-nucleotide ribosomal RNA is filed under the name uncultured bacterium. Its description in RNAcentral is "partial 16S ribosomal RNA". It matches the Rfam family "Bacterial small subunit ribosomal RNA", at positions 28 to 507 of the family's 1533-position model. The record is from RNAcentral.